CUGAGGGACCGGCCCGGUCCGCCCUCAACCAGAAGCUCGCUCUGGAAGGAGGGGCCGGCCCCCGGCCCCGCCCCGAGCCCGAGACCGCCCCGCCCACUCACGAGACCGCCCACAGACAAACCCAAGUGCGAGCCCACCGUCCCCGGCCGGCGGUCUGCGGUCUUUGGCGGUUGUGGAGGAUUGGCGGCUUUCGCGAGGCCUCCCGCGCACUACGCCUCUCGGUGCAGCAAAAGUUCUACAGCGUGUGCAGUACUUCCAGAGAGAAGAGAGGAUGGGAGCAGCAAUGUGAGAGGCAGGGUUACCUAGAAGCAUGGUAUGUAUGUAUGUAUUUACGUAUUUAAUUUUCUCUUUUUUCCAUAUUUCUUAUCUCUCCACAUAUCUCUCUUCUCUCUGAAUCUUUCUCCUGGAUUAUCUCCCCAGUAGCUUCGGAGUCCAGAGUGCUAACCAUUACACGAUGGAACCCGCCCCCAGUAGCUUCAAUAAAUUGUUGAAAGACAGUGGCUCAGAUUCAUACUAAAUUGGCCUCAACUCGAAUAGGUGCUGGCAUGGGCUCACUUGACUGAUAGGUCACACUUUGCAAAGUUUGUGAACACUUUUGGGUAUUUUCAACUCUGUAAUCCCCUUAUAAAGACAUAGUAAUACAAUCUGUUUCCCCACAUGCUGCUCCAAAAAUUCUUUCAUAAAUUAUGUUAAAUUACCUAUUUGUUUGUUUGGUAACUCUUUAGGGCAGUCUUUUUAUUUUAUCCUUAGUAUCUGGCAAAUGCUUUAAAAAAAUAAUUACUAGGUUAGGAUCUAUGUUGUCUUUCAGAGGGAGAAACUGAGAAUUUGGCUAGGGCUUCACAGCUAAUGAAGACCAUAGGCAUUCUAACUUCCCACCCAAACUGAGAUUGUACACUUCCGGUCCAGGCCACUUAGGCAGUAGAGGUGCCCCGGGGAAAUGAGCAAAGGAGGAGUAGGAUAAUUUGGAGGAUCAGCCCUCAGACCCCAAAACAGAUGGCCACCACCUCAUGUUCCCUAUCCGGACUUUUCAUCUUUAGGACUUUGGGGGGAUAAUUUUCCCUUCCUUGGUCCUAAAGCCUCCUCUGAGUGGAGUCUAGAAAUCUUUCCAUGAGCCACACUUCGAUGUAGUCUAUGCAGGCAGGAUAAGUUAGGAUUUGGGCUGUUUUACACAGAACAAAGGGAAA
Non-coding RNA from Heterocephalus glaber (naked mole-rat), 1184 nucleotides. Lineage: Eukaryota; Metazoa; Chordata; Mammalia; Rodentia; Bathyergidae. The record is from RefSeq and is a predicted model, not a curated record.